GGAGGCGUGUCGUCACCGGUGUGGCGCCCGGUCUUCAAAACCGGUGGCAGGCUUAACCGUCUGUGGUAGGUUCGACUCCUAUACGCCUCC
RNAcentral lists this transfer RNA (90 nucleotides) under uncultured Desulfovibrio sp. RNAcentral's name for it is "Selenocysteine transfer RNA". It matches the Rfam family "Selenocysteine transfer RNA". The record is from RNAcentral. Lineage: Bacteria; Pseudomonadati; Thermodesulfobacteriota; Desulfovibrionia; Desulfovibrionales; Desulfovibrionaceae.